This 1356-nucleotide ribosomal RNA is filed under the name Triticum aestivum (bread wheat). Its description in RNAcentral is "partial small subunit ribosomal RNA". The record is from RNAcentral. Lineage: Eukaryota; Viridiplantae; Streptophyta; Magnoliopsida; Poales; Poaceae.
AUGAUACAACUUGUUGAGAGAAACUCAUUUGGCAGGAUAAAAGAAUUCAGAAUGCAUGAUAUCUUACGUGAAUUGGCAGUUCAUCUAUGCCAGAAGGACUGCUUUGGUGUUACAUAUGAGGAUAAAUGUGGGAAAUCACUUGAGAUGGAUGUACGUCGACUGGUACUGCAUAAAGUAACGAAGGAUAUUUAUCAGAGAUUAUCUGGUAUGCACCGAUUUAGAACUGUCAUUACAGUGGACAAUAGCGUACCAACGUUCACUAUACUACCUCUGCUAUGUAAGAAGUCAAGAUAUAUGACAGUGUUAGAAUUAAGUGGUCUACCCAUUGAGAAGAUCCCAGUUGCUAUUGGAGAUCUUUUCAAUCUCUGCCAUUUGGGUCUACGUAAUUCAAAAGUGAAGAUGCUUCCAAUGUCUGUUGACAAGCUUUCAAAUUUGUUGACACUGGACCUUGCUAGAUCUGACAUACAUGAGGUGCCUAGUGGGAUUGUGAAAUUGAAGAAGCUUAGGCACUUAUUUGUUGAGAAAAAAAUUGAUCCAAAUUGGAGAGCAUUUAAGUGUUCCAGUGGUGUGCAUAUUGCCAGUGGUCUUGGAAAUCCGACAAACCUGCAGACGCUCCGAGCAUUGGAAGCACAUGACGGAUCUAUUAGACAUUUAGGUGAGCUGAGGCAACUAAGAAGCUUGAGGUUGUGGAAUGUGAAGGGAAUCUACUGUGGGCGCAUUAGGGACUCUCUAGUUCAAAUGCGGUAUUUGUCCAACCUUUCUGUGAGCGCCAGUGAUGAGAAUGAGGUUCUCUUGUUGAAUGUCCUGCCAAACCUGCGAAAGCUAGUUUUGAGAGGGCGACUGGCGGAAGGGGCGUUGAAUGAGUCUCUUCUCUUCCAACCUGUUGGGGGGCAGAACUUGUAUAGACUGUCUCUAUCUUGGUCACAACUGAGGGAAGACCCUUUGCCAUCGCUUUCUCGGCUGUCUAAUUUGACGCAAAUACAUUUCACCAGAGCAUACAACGGAGAGCAUCUAGCAUUUCUCACGAGGUGGUUUCCCAAGCUGAAGACUCCUCAGUUGGGAGACCUGCCUAAUCUGAAGCAGCUAGAGAUACAACGAGGUGCCAUGGCAAACCUGGAAAGAUUAUUCUUAAUCAACCUCAACAGCAUGAUGGAGGUCCCACCUGGCAUUGAGUUCCUCAUGCCCCUCCAGCGUCUCGGCUUCCACGAAAUCACAAAUGAAGGAAUGAAGAGGCUUCGCUAUGAUGUUCAUUAUUGCAGAUCAAGGAAAAGGACAGAUCCGAUUGCGCAUAGUGUCUGGGACUCCUCUGCUUUCUUAAGGCGCCAUUUGCUGCUUGUUCCACCUCCACUACGGUGA